CGCCUGAGUGCUCCGCGUCGCGGCGCCCGUGAGAAAUCGUCCUGCCGGCGCGGACAGAGAGCUGGUUUCACAGCGAGGCCGUUUUUCCUAAGCACCAGCUUCGCAAGAGGCCGCACAAGGAUGGUGGUGGAUCAAGACAAGUAGAAGAAGACUCUACAAUCAUGUUUGCAUGAACUAAAAUAAAAUCUUAAGCCCGCAAGCUGUGAUGGAAUGGACGCCUUUUUGGCAAAGGGGACUGCUGAAAGACCUUAAGGCUCGGAUACUGGCUAUGAAAAGAUGGUGCUCACACCUGGGGUUCAAAGACGACUCAGGAUUCCUGGAAGGAGUAGCCCAACGUGAGUGCCAGGUAGCAGCAAGGCCCCCUUGAGCCACCCCACUCCGAGCUUUCCCUUGGGCUGCACUGGGAGAAUAUUAACAUGGACCUGAAUGCACAGAGAUACUGCAAAUGUCCUUAAAUAUUCUCUCAAAUUUUCACAGCUGAUUUGUACUUUAAUGUUUACUCGGGGAUCCACUUUUUUUCAGUACUUGUUCAGUAUAUAGACGAUGUUUUACUCUGUAAACCGGGUGUCCUCUUAGACCUCCUUAUUCUUUGGAAGACUAACUGAGUGAGGCCAUAAAGCCUCUAGGUGCAAACUCCAGAGGGUACAGACAACUGUUACUUACUCAGAACAUAACAUAUUUCAGGGCACUCAAAAGCUCACCCCAAAAUUCCUUGAGUCAGUUUUGGUAUAGCCCUCAUUAGAGAUUACACACUGGUAAAAGGAAAUGUUGCCACUAUUUACACAGACUCCAAAGAUGCCUCUGGAGGCAGGUGAUCUUCUAUUGCCAGGGUGUCUGGAGACUGCUGGGAUUUAAGUGAACACGCUAGAUACACACACUAACUAAUAUGCUUGAAGCAUGUCAUCAACAGGUGAAAGGUGCAUGGCUUCCACCAACUCACAGGCUUUGCCAUCCUUUUUGACCAAGAGAUGGUGUAUAUAUGAAAAUUUUUAGAGAAAGACAUGUGCUGUCAUCUCUCUGGGAAGGCCCCUAUGAAGUACUGUUAACCACCUACACUGCCAUCAAAAUAAAAGAAAAAAUUUCCUGGGUUCAUGCAAGCUACACCAAAUUACUCUGAGAGAGUUGGAAGCCCACCCCUACAGGUGCCCUGAAAGUAAGGAUUUCCAAGGCUGGUUCCCGGGCCCCUGAAGCAGACAUCUUCACAAAGUAGACAGAUUUGUCCCAAGAUCUUGGAUCAAGAAACCACAGUUUUUAUCUAAAAACUCUUCUGUUUUAUUUCUUUUUAUCCCCUCCCCACAAAAGGGUCCUUUAUAAACACUUUUUCUUUUAAUCCUCCCCGUUGGAGGAUUGCACGUUGGAAGCUGAGUGGAGAUUGCCUCAACCUUUCCCAAUUUCCCUUUUAAUCUUCCACUAUGACUUUUCUUUCAAACUAUGACUCACUCUUACUAAACUCUUACUGUUUUUCCAGAAGGUCAGACACAGACCCAGCAUCCCUUUGCACCAGUCUUUCAAACCCUGGCCACACUAACUGAUCAAUCUAAUUGCUAGUUAUGCCAACAUGUAGAUCAUACAAAGGAACCCGAACUCGUUUUCGUUUCUGCCAACGUGAGUGCCAGGUGGGACUGGUCUGAAGAUGGACAUGUGACAAGCAGUGGCAUCCACAACCAAAGAAAACAUAUUAUGGUACUUCUCCUGUUGGUGAGUUAAAUGAACACAGAAAAAGUGUCUUGUACUCAGGUAAAGUCACUAGAAAGAAUAUUUUUCUCUCUUCUGGGUGACAUUCUAGGGCAAUAUUGCAAUCAAACCCCACAGAUGGCAUUCUUGCACCUCUUAGAUGAGGCUGACACUAACCCUCAAGAUGUCAACGCUUGUUAAAUAAUCAGAUGUUAUGGACGGCUCACAAGCCAGGCCUCUGCAACCUGGGGUAGCUCGCUUGCUCCCCUUGUUAAGUUGCCAGACACUAAUGAUUACAUAUGGACA
Non-coding RNA from Microcebus murinus (gray mouse lemur), 1980 nucleotides. NCBI's taxonomy places the organism in Eukaryota, Metazoa, Chordata, Mammalia, Primates, Cheirogaleidae. The record is from RefSeq and is a predicted model, not a curated record.